RNAcentral lists this non-coding RNA (101 nucleotides) under Salimicrobium jeotgali. RNAcentral describes it as "Guanine sequence". It matches the Rfam family "Purine riboswitch aptamer". Rfam says of the family: Riboswitches are metabolite binding domains within certain messenger RNAs that serve as precision sensors for their corresponding targets. Lineage: Bacteria; Bacillati; Bacillota; Bacilli; Caryophanales; Bacillaceae. The record is from Rfam by way of RNAcentral.
AAAAAAGCAUAAAACGAACCUCAUAUAGAGCGAUAAUACGGAUCGUUCGUCUCUACCUGGUCGCCGUAAAUGACCGGACUAUGAGGGGAGACACCCGGGAU